RNAcentral lists this transfer RNA (94 nucleotides) under Mycolicibacterium aurum. RNAcentral describes it as "tRNA-Asp(atc)". The record is from RNAcentral. Lineage: Bacteria; Bacillati; Actinomycetota; Actinomycetes; Mycobacteriales; Mycobacteriaceae.
CGGCGGUGUGGUGAAGGUCAUCGCCGCCGGUGCCAUCGCCGCCGGUGCCGAGGUCCAGGUGGGUGCCGGUGGCGCAGUGUCCACCGCGGCCGCC